This 400-nucleotide ribosomal RNA is filed under the name uncultured bacterium. Its description in RNAcentral is "bacterial SSU rRNA". It matches the Rfam family "Bacterial small subunit ribosomal RNA", at positions 355 to 747 of the family's 1533-position model. The record is from RNAcentral.
UCGAGAAUCAUUCGCAAUGGGCGAAAGCCUGACGAUGCGACGCCGCGUGAGCGAUGAAGGCCCUCGGGUUGUAAAGCUCUUUCGCCUGGGAACAAGAGAAGGUUACAAAUAGUAGCCUGAUUUGAGGGUACCAGGUAAAGAAGCACCGGCUAACUCCGUGCCAGCAGCUGCGGUAAUACGGAGGGUGCAAGCAUUAAUCGGAUUGAUUGGGCGUAAAGGGCGCGUAGGUGGGAGUGCAAGUCAGAUGUGAAAUCCCGGGGCUCAACCCCGGAACAGCAUUUGAAACUGCACUUCUUGAGGGUAGGCGGGGAAAACGGAAUUCCACAUGUAGCGGUGAAAUGCGUAGAUAUGUGGAAGAACACCUGUGGCGAAAGCGGUUUUCUAGCUUACUCCUGACACU